This 1399-nucleotide long non-coding RNA is filed under the name Hordeum vulgare. RNAcentral describes it as "long non-coding RNA (HVUL_LNC017259)". The record is from RNAcentral. Lineage: Eukaryota; Viridiplantae; Streptophyta; Magnoliopsida; Poales; Poaceae.
UGCCCUGCUAUGCAAUACCUUUCCUUCUACUACAGUGGCUCGUCAUUGCCACAACUAAUUAUGGAGCUUGUGUGUCGCUGGUUAUGGCAGCCUAUCAGAUUGGGGCCCAUUAGAUUGAGUUGCAUGUGAUAGUCAGUUCCGUCAGAAAAAGACAAUGAGGGUUUUCUGGUGAUCUGCCACUCGCCGUGGCCUGUCUGUAACAACGAGUCAUGACCAGCGUUUUGAUUUUCGGUUUGACAUUUUUUCGCCCUAGGCCGAGAUGGACGAAAUUCGGUCAUUUUUAAAUUUUUCGACCAAAAUUUGACUGAAAUUUGACCAAAAUUUGACUGAAAUUUGACCAAUUUCAGCGGAAAGAUAGAUCUCGCCCCAGGCCGAGAUGGCCGAAAUCCAUUUUUUUCGGCCUAGCACAACCUCCUCCUCGCUUAAAUUAAAAAAUAAGCUCAUUCCUCCCGUUGCUGGCGUACUCCUUUGCAGUACGAAGAAUGUCAAUCAUAUGCCAUAUUAUUCUGUCACGUGCAAACAAAUCAGGAACAGAAUAAGGAUAGUAUUAUUACGUUGGAGGCAUUAGGCCCAUCCGCUUCUUGCUGCAGGUACACCAAGCCUUCAUAUCUUCUCCAUCUUCUGAACCAUGCUGAUCCUCGCAGGAACUGAGUCAUGAAGAACAUGCGAGUGGCACCAUCCGGACGGAAAAGCUACUUGCCCACCUGUGAAAAACAACAUGGGACCCAAAUCAGAAUAAUUUCGAACCUAAUUAUGCUGUCACAUACAAACUACUUACUGCAAGAACAAAGUAAGAAUCCUAUUAUGUUGGUGGCAUUAGGCCAAUCGACUCCUUGCUGCAGGUACACCAAAUCUUCACGUCAAGACGCCAGAACGUGUGUGGGGUAUCAUAUAGACGGAGAAGGAUGGAGAGAAUACUGCUCCUCUUAGGAACUGGGGCAAGAACGUGCAGAGGGGCAUCAUAUGGACGGAGAAGGAUGGAGAAAACACAUCGCAAUUGUUGUCAGAUGAGAUGGCUGAGACGGAAUUGAUGAAAAACUGGAGGAGAAGCUUGAGCGAGAGAUUAGUUGUUAAUGGAAUAUCGCGAUGGCAAAAGUAUAGGCACCCGAAGGGUGAUCGUCUUCUUUUCCCUAAGCACCAGGAGAAUAUGUGGCGGCCACCAAUUAAUAAGAGGAGACGUGCGUGGGUCAGACCGGGUUCUGUUUAAGCAAAGAAAUUGGAACGUGGAGUAGAUAAAGAUUCUUUUCUUUUAAGAAGAAAGAAGAUAGAGAUCCGCGUCUGAAAAAAAAAGGUGGAGUUUUUUUUUUAAUUGGAUUGAUAAGGAAGGGAAGAAACGGUGGAGAACUAACAGGAUCGUGACAUUGGUGGAGUAUAUUUAGAACCGACAACUGAUUGUGGG